UACGUAGGGUGCGAGCGUUGUCCGGAAUUAUUGGGCGUAAAGGGCUCGUAGGCGGUUUGUCGCGUCGGGAGUGAAAACCUCGGGCUUAACUCGGGGCUUGCUUUCGAUACGGGCAGACUGGAGGUAUGCAGGGGAGAACGGAAUUCCUGGUGUAGCGGUGAAAUGCGCAGAUAUCAGGAGGAACACCGGUGGCGAAGGCGGUUCUCUGGGCCGUAACUGACGCUGAGGAGCGAAAGCGUGGGGAGCGAACAGG
Molecule: ribosomal RNA, 253 nt
Filed under: uncultured bacterium
Lineage: Bacteria
Description: partial 16S ribosomal RNA
Rfam family: Bacterial small subunit ribosomal RNA
Source: RNAcentral